This is a long non-coding RNA of Brienomyrus brachyistius, 832 nucleotides long. RefSeq lists it as uncharacterized. The transcript has 4 exons. Lineage: Eukaryota; Metazoa; Chordata; Actinopteri; Osteoglossiformes; Mormyridae. The record is from RefSeq and is a predicted model, not a curated record.
CAAGUGCACCCUCAUACCUUGGGAAGGCGGGCAGUCUGUCGACACGGCAACCUGUAAACACAAGAAACCAAAGGUAUGAGAACCACUGCAAAGGACCCAAUGAAGACAGCAGAAGUCUGUUUUGACUCUCUACUACCAUUAGGUGAAAUUGAUCCAGACACUUUACAAAGAAUUCUAACAUGUAGGAGUGUAGGGUAACCACUACACGAGUCAAUUUUCAAGACCCUCAACGAAACAGAACACAAGACGUCAAGUUUCACGGAAGGAAUUCUGCAGACAUGGCUACCUGGAAACAAGAGAAAUAAAAGUGACGUGAAGCACCAGGAUGGACCCACUGACGACAACCAAGGUCUCCCAAGCAGCUUUACUGCAUGGAAAAAGCUGCAAGGAAGAGCAUUUUAUUGCAGUGGAUUAAUGAAAAAGUACCAACUGUUUAAGGCUGGCACAGAGUGCAGUUUGAGUUAGUCUCAUUACUGUACCGUACAGCUAUAUGACAUUCAAAAACAGACCAAUUCUAUAAAACGUGGGAACCCAAUGUGAACUAUGUAGAGCCUGGUGUCUACCAUCAUGCUGCAAAACGUUCUGCUGCACAUUAUCAUUGUAAGAACGAAUGAGCUAAUAUUGUGUUGUUCCACUUGCUUGCUCAGUGGUUUGUAUUAAUCUUUUACUUGUUGCAAAUGGAGAAAAUAUAUUGCAAAAAAAUAAAUUAUACAAUACAAAAAUUAUACGAUCGAAACAGCAUUUCAAAAUAUUUUUAUUCAUUCAUUCUCAGUCUCACCAAGCACAGUUAAACAGAUAAGAUUAUAUUUCUUAAAAAUAACUGACAUCUUCU